Molecule: ribosomal RNA, 587 nt
Filed under: uncultured bacterium
Lineage: Bacteria
Description: bacterial SSU rRNA
Rfam family: Bacterial small subunit ribosomal RNA
Source: RNAcentral
ACGGGUGCGUAACGCGUAUGCAACCUACCUUUUACUGGGGGAUAGCCUUCCGAAAGGGAGAUUAAUACCGCAUAACAUAGCGGCGUGGCCUCACGCUGCUAUUAAAACUCCGGUGGUAAAAGAUGGGCAUGCGUCCGAUUAGCUAGUUGGCGGGGUAGUGGCCCACCAAGGCGACGAUCGGUCGGGGACCUGAGAGGGCGAUCCCCCACACUGGCACUGAGAUACGGGCCAGACUCCUACGGGAGGCAGCAGUAGGGAAUAUUGGGCAAUGGCCGCGAGGCUGACCCAGCCAUGCCGCGUGCAGGAAGAAGGCGCUACGCGUUGUAAACUGCUUUUCUUGGGGAAGAAAAAGCUUCUGCGGAAGUCACUGACGGUACCCAAGGAAUCAGCACCGGCUAACUCCGUGCCAGCAGCCGCGGUAAUACGGAGGGUGCAAGCGUUGUCCGGAUUCAUUGGGUUUAAAGGGUGCGCAGGCGGGACAUUAAGUCAGGGGUGAAAGACGGUUGCUCAACAAUCGCAGUGCCUUUGAUACUGGUGUUCUUGGGUGACCUUGAGGUAGGCGGAAUGGGUGGUGUAGCGGUGAAAUG